GAGUUUGAUCCUGGCUCAGAACGAACGCUGGCGGCGUGCCUAACACAUGCAAGUCGGACGAGAAACUCCCGCUUCGGCGGGGGGAGUACAGUGGCGAACGGGUGAGUAACGCGUGGGUAACCUGCCCUUAGGUCCGGGAUAACUUCGCGAAAGCGUUGCUAAUACCGGAUACCGUCCAAAAGACUGCGGUUUUUUGGAUGGAAGGUGACCUCUCCAUGGAAGUUACCGCCAAAGGAGGGGCCCGCGUACCAUUAGCUUGUUGGUGGGGUAACGGCCCACCAAGGCAACGAUGGUUAGCUGGUCUGAGAGGAUGGCCAGCCACACUGGAACUGAAACACGGUCCAGACUCCUACGGGAGGCAGCAGUGAGGAAUUUUGCGCAAUGGGGGAAACCCUGACGCAGCAACGCCGCGUGAGUGAAGAAGGCUUUCGGGUCGUAAAGCUCUGUCAAGUGGGAAAAAACGCUCCCGGUGAAUAGCCGGGAGAACUGAUGGUACCACUGGAGGAAGCACCGGCUAACUCCGUGCCAGCAGCCGCGGUAAUACGGA
Molecule: ribosomal RNA, 547 nt
Filed under: uncultured bacterium
Lineage: Bacteria
Description: bacterial SSU rRNA
Rfam family: Bacterial small subunit ribosomal RNA
Source: RNAcentral